This 125-nucleotide small RNA is filed under the name Marmota monax (woodchuck). The record is from RNAcentral. Lineage: Eukaryota; Metazoa; Chordata; Mammalia; Rodentia; Sciuridae.
GCUGGGCACAGUGGCACAUACCUGUAAUCCCAGUGGCUUGGGAGGCUGAGGCAGGAGGAUCUCGUGUUCAAAGCCAGCCUCAGCAAAAGCAAGGCACUUAGCAACUCAGUGAGACUCUGUCUCUA